This 41347-nucleotide long non-coding RNA is filed under the name Setaria viridis. RNAcentral describes it as "long non-coding RNA (SVIR_LNC005186)". Lineage: Eukaryota; Viridiplantae; Streptophyta; Magnoliopsida; Poales; Poaceae. The record is from RNAcentral.
GUGGUGGGGGUUCGUUUGGCUUGGCGUCGUCGUCGCGCGCGCUCCGGUGACGGCGGCGGGCCGGCAUGGCCGUGGAGGAAGUCCUCGGUUGGUCGCUGUGCAACUUGACGCCUCAUCAUCUCGGCUCGGCCAAAGGGAGAAUGAAGAUACAAUACAAUACAGGAAGAGCGGCCUCCGGUCGCCGUGGUGUGCGUGUGUGUGUGGGCUGGAUGCCCUGUUCUCAGCUAGCGCUCUCCUAUCCUAUCAGAUUCAGAGCAGGGUUUUGCUGAUGUUCUACGUUUUGUUACUCGCUAUCACCAGAAAUAAAAAAGUUCCUUGCAGUUUGUUCUAAUUCCUACCAUCGUUGCAACAUUGGAUAUAGUGUCUAAGAACAGGAGAACCUGUAGAAAAUAGACAAGCACAGAAACUGUACUCGAAAUCGUCUGAAAUGCGAACUAGUGCAUUUUCCUUGCGAAAAUCCCUACAAAAAAUCUUGUGGUAGGCGUGCGUGGCCGCACUAAAAGAAAAUGUGCCCCGGUCGGUGCAGAGAACCCGUCCCGUCCGCUCACUGUCUGACGUGUGGUGUGGUCCGGCCCUACGAGUAGGCCUCGUGCCUAUAGGAGCGUUCCAGCACUGCUUCCCCACUAGCACAGAGCCGUGCAAUUUUAUCACACAAGACUCGAGAAAUCCACGAGAUCGCGGAUUGGUAUUGCUUGAGCGCCCGGUGAUCCCCGUUGCACUCCAGCCGACCACCACCGACUCCUGCGGCGCCUAGAAUUUCCCGUGCUCCAGCGAUAGGGCGCGACCGGGGUGAAACUGAAACCAGUGGCAAUACCAUUGGGUCCCCACCGCGGGUGCCCGUGAACCUUAUCGUGGCGCAUGCCUCCCGCACCGACCGACGGCAUGGACGCCGUCGUCUCUGCUAGCCUUUCUUUCUUUCUUUCUUUUAUUUAACGCGGCGGUGAUCGACAGCGACCGGCGGCGCGGGAAGCUCCCGCAGGGCUUGCGGGUCUGUUCGCUUCAGCUUAUAAACCGGCUGAAAAGCUGAAAUGGCUGAUUUGUUGUGAGAAAAAAACACUGUUUGGUAGCUGAUAGGCCGGAUGAACAAGCUGAAGCGAACACGCCGUGCAUAGUUGCAUCCGGCUGGCUCCGUUCUCGGAUCAACUUGGGCUGAGGGCAAUUGACAGUGAACGGGCCUGGCCAUUGAAUAUUUGAAUUGAGCACCAGUGGUAGCUCAAAUUUACCACGCGCAGGUCGGCACACGGAAGGAUCAGGAAGGUAAGGCGACCUGGACCAGUCAUCAGUUCAUCACAUGACGCGCUGCCAAGAUACCCUCCAGGCUCCAGCAAAAGAAAAGCUGUUGGGAAUGGGCCGCCCUGCGUGGGAUCAAUCCCCGAGAAGAUCAGAUAUUAUAACGUGGCACUAAAAAAGAAUAAAGUAGCCGCCGGGAUUGUCUCACAAAAGAAUAAAGUAGCCGUCGAGAUUGGUCUCAAAAAAUAUUAAAGUUUCGGCGUGUUCAGAUCCGACAACCUAUCGAGGCUACCCGAGUUAGGGUUGAGUGCGCGAGACUUGUCAAGAUUAGGAAUUUGAAGGUAAACACAGACAUACGAUUUAGACAAGUUUGGAUCGUUAGAUUGCGUAAUACCCUACUUCUUGUGUGUCGGUUGGAUUGAAUUGCCUUGAAGAGGAUCCCUGCCUCGCCUUAUAUUAUCGGGAGCAGGGUUACAGGUUGGUUGAUUUAUAAGAAUACUAGUCGAAUUCGAUUAGAUAAGGCAUACUCUAAUUAUUACGAGUAGUUUUUCGAAUUCUCGACUAGUUCCUAUCUUACCACGUAAAUCAUACCAUCCUGCAUCAUAGUCUUCACAUCUUGUACCAGUCCUGUACCUAGAACUCUCCAAAUCUCCUGAUGAACUCGUAGAUGUAUAUACGACGGCCGCCGAGGUUCGAAUGCGAACGGUGCAGGUCAUCUGGCUAGUUGGUGUGCAAAUUUUAUUUGAAAUGCUGUAGUCCACCGACGAACAAAUACUUCAGCCCAUUUUUAAGUCAUCUCUUGCUAUUUUAUCCUUCCCGAGAUACCCAUUGCCGACAGCAUCAAUUAGUUGCUAUUUUAUCCUUCCCGAGAUACCCAAUACUGACAGCAUCAAUUAGCGUCCAUAUAGCUUUCAGUAAAAGAGAAGGCUUCUGGGCAAUAAUGAACACAGCUGAAAGGGAGUGUCAAUUUUCUUCAACACAUGCGUAGUGCGAUUUUCUUACUACGCCAUAACCUUUAGUACUGUCUUAAGCCCGCUCAAUAUGUGCAAACAGAUUAUCAUCUGGACCACAGAAAUCUGAAGGAAUGCAAACAUACACAGCCCAUACAGAUACAGAUCACCACACAUGGGCCACAAACUACCCAUUAACACCCACAGUAAGAACCACAAGCAUUGGGCGUGAGCAAGAGCUGCUUCCAAAGCAAAUCUCAAACAGAUCGGAGGGUUCGUCCAAUUUUUUGGGCAAUCAUAUUGCAAUAAGACAACGUCCUCACGACACCUAGAUAUAUCAGACGCAAAACAGAUACACAAUCUGAUCUCACACUGCUGGAACACGGAGGACAAUCCGUCGCUGAUACAUCAACAUGCAGACUCAUAAGAUUAUCGCCUUACCGGCUUCCAGCUUGGCUGCAGACGACUCAGAGAAAAGGGGGACAUACAGGAGAGUAACCGGAUGUAGGCAUGCAAGGGUGAUCGCAUUGGCUGUGCCAAUCACCCAGACUUGAAUAGCAAGACGGCUUUGGAAUCGAUGUAGAAGUAUACAAAGUAGUUUGUCUCAUGCGUUACAUACGAACCUGCAAUAGACGAAAAAUGGUUAGCAAAAGCGUGGGCGUUCAAUAUACAUAUCAUGGACUCAUAAAUGGAAGAGGUUAAUAAGUUCUCACUAUUUUCAGCUUAACUUUUCCAUUCCCAAGCUAUGCAUAUGCCACUAAAGUUCAGCGGUCAACAUAACCACAUACUCCACAACCAAAAGGAGUAACUGGAUGUUUUUAAUGUAGAUUAACAAAUCCAACCAAUUUAUAAUGGAGAAACUCUAGCAGGACUUGGCAUAUGUUCUGUCUCACUGCUAGAAUAACUAUCCCAUGUUACAGAAAUGGUAUUUAGACAUAGUAAACAAGAUGCCGGAUAAAUAUCAAACAAAGGCAGAAGAGGCUAACGCUCUUCUAACUUGCUAAUUGAUCAUUUCUCGAGCUAUGAGAAGUAAUUUAAGAUAAAAUUUCUCCCAUAAUCCUAUCAUAAUAGAGUAAAACAGAAACAUGUAGAAAUUAAGACAGCUCUUCAUUGAGUUUUAUAAUUAGUUUGUGAAGUAGAAUCAGUCAAAAAUAUCUGGAAACUACGACAGCUCAUCACUCAGUCUUAGAAUUAGAGAAACAAUUUAAGAAAAGAUUUCUCCCAUAGUCCUAUCCUAAUAGAGUCAAACAGAAACAUGUAGAAAUUAAGACAGCUCUUCACUGAGUUCCUAUCCUAAUAGAGUCAAACAGAAACAUGUAGAAAUUAAGACAGCUCUUCACUGAGUUUUAUAAUUAGUUUGUGAAGUGGAAUCAGUCAAAAUAUCUGGAAACUACAACAGCUCAUCAUUCAGUCUUAGAGUUAGGUUGAGAUACAAUCAGUGCAAUCAAAUAGAAACAUCUGGGAACUAAGACAGGUCGCCGAAGUGUCUUAGGAUUAGUUUGUGUGACAGAAUCAGUCAGUUGUGAGUGUGUCAUUCUCUCUAACGUUUGUCCUUCUCUUCUUAUUAGUAAAAAGAAAGCUGAAGUGCUGCCCAAGUUUGGAACAACAAAGGGUGACCAAAUUUAAAGGAAAAAAAUAAAAAAGGACUGGAAUUCAGAGACAGCAACAACCAGCCUCUUGUUUCUAUGCCAUCGAUAGAGAAAAACCUUUUUAAUUUUGCUAAUACUUUCAGUGCUAAAAUGUGUGCUCAAUCAAAAGGGACAUUCAGCCAUUGGUCAAAUCUUUCUAGCCUUGUCAGAGUGGCAGAAUUCGUAAGAAUUUGGUGACUUGUUGCAGUACACCAAUUAUCAGAAGCACACUCCAAAAUUUAUUAACAGAUAUUGGCCCAGAACGAAAAAACCAAUAAAAAAUGUGCAGAUUUGAGUUAUGGCUAUUUUAUGAUAAUUGACAAUGCCUGAAAGAAAACCAAAAUAGUGUAUGUCUGACUUGCUUGUAGAGAAUGCAAAGGAAGGAGAGAAAGAAAGCAAUGAUAUGCUUUAUUUGUUAUGCACGAUAUAGAAGUUGCAGUGAUAAGACCUAGCUACUAGGCAUGCUGGAAAAUUUCCAAUAACAAUAUAAUUUGGCAUCUUGAUCGAGAAGAAGCUAGAAUGGGAGAUAAAUCAGGAAAUUAUAAAUGAUCCAAUGCUACACGUAAAGCUAUAUAGCAUGUAGAAGAAUAUGAACACAGUCGAGAAAUUGCUAUAAGAAAAUAUGACCUGAAGUAUAAGAUUAAACAUUUUGUAGAGGAGAGUCGAAAAACGAACAGCUAAAACUUAUGUUUGAUAAGAACAUAGCCACAUAAUUGCAAUAAAAAAACAGAACAAAUGCAGAGUUAAACAGUUGCUGCAAAACACAAAAGCUGUUCAAUCUGGUACUGAAAAUUGUUAGCUUAGAUCCAAUAUCACAAAUUGGUUAGGCCAAUUGCAUUAGAGGUCUCUAAACUUCCUUUAUUGCACUGCUAAUUGCAGGAGUGUUUGUCAAGUGAAUAAGUAAUGUGCCAUGCCAGUUGACACGGAAUAUAAGUGACAUGACAGUAUGACAGUCAGCAUGCCCAGUCAGUUGCAAGUCUACAUAAAAUGCCAUGCCAUUUCUUUGUUACAUCUGAUUAACAGAGUACAGUGACACUAAGUUAAGGAACUGAAAAAUAAAGCAUGUGCUACUAAUUUAUUGAAACAAAAAAUUUAGUUUUAGAUAAGAAAGAGUUGAACAAAAAAUUGAAUAAGUCAAUUAAAAAUGUGUAAAAUUGAAUGAUACUCCCUCCGUUUCAAAAUGUAGGUCAUUUUUGCUUUUCUACAUAUAUAGAUUUUGCUAUGUAUCUAGACAUAACACUAUAUUUAGGUGCAUAACAAAAUCUAUGUAUCUAGAAAAGCCAAAACGACUUACAUUUUGGAACGGAGGGAGUAGCUCGCUAAGUUGGAUUUGGUUGAUAUCAGGAAUAGCCUACCCUGUUGGCUGAGCAAAGCUUAGAGAAUGCUUACAUAAAGUUUUUAGAAUUUAAGCCAAGCCAGAAGCAAGGAGGUAAACUUCAAAUUCGAGAAAUAAGACAUUGUCAUACUUGCACUAUACACACUCCCGGAAACAAUACUUCACCCACUCCAUUACAGGUGCUACAUUCAAUAAAAAAAGAUACAGGUCAUUCAACAUUCCCUUGUCAAAUUUGAAGCAUAAUUUCAGUUGACUGCAAUAACCGUUUCAGCUUCUUCAGUUUUCCUAGUUCAUUUCCUCCUGUGUACAACUUAUUUGUGGGGGUGAGGGUGGGGAAUGAGUUUCCUGUGGCUUCUAUUGACAGCAUAAGCAGUCCUACAAGGUCCAUUCAAUCAAUCACGUGCGGACCUUUAUUGGGCCAGGCACGGACGAAAUCGACCAUGGAAUAACCAACGACGCAAAGCAUACCAGACCAGAUAUCAACAACUGUCCUCAGGACAGGCGCAAUCAUCCCACAUGUUCCGCGCUAAUUAAGGAGUCCUCCCGGACAAGAGGAGAGCAUUACCGAAGUUGCGGCCGACGAUGCAGUGCCAGGUUGGGCCGUGGUUCUUGUCGAACUCCUUCUUGAUGUACUCCGCGAUGUCCUUCUCCAUGGUGUGCUUCUCGAACGCCUGACCGAAAGAGCGAGAGGUUGAAAAAAAAAUCCCCCGAACCCCAACGAACAACUAGUAAUAUGAAAACCAAAUCGAGAGCAGGAAAGAAAGCAAUAGUGAGAGCAGAGGCACGAGGUUCGUACGAUGCGGGCGAUUUCGAAGGCCUCCUGCCGCAUCUCCUCCUUCAUAUCGGCGCUCUUGAGCUGGAUCUUGUGCCCCGCCGCGGCCGGCGGCGGGGACCCCGCGCCCACCGGCUUGCGGUCCUCGGAGGAGGCCCGGAGCGCCGCCUGCGCGGCGCCCCCGGCCCCGCGCCUGGCCUCGUCGGACAUUCUCGAGGGCGGGUGGAGCAGAGCUGCCGGGCACGCUUCUCCUCCCUCUCGAGGAAUCCUCUCCUCGCUUUUUUGGCGAUGGUGGGCGUCUGGGCGAGGACGAGAAGCAGACACCGUGGGCGUGCGCGUGCGCGUUGCAGUGGAAUCUGCCUAGCAGCCGGCGGCCAGAGAGAAGAGAGAAGGUGAAAGUGUUGAAACUGGGAACUUUGGGCUGAGCCAUGGGCCUCCAUAUACAGAACCGGCCCGAAAUAAAGAGUCCAUGAGGUUGGUCCAGUUCCGUUUGCAAUGUGAGUAUUUUGCGAAACCGUUGCAGAAAUUUUAAGUGGAGCAGUUCAGCCCUCGUAGAGUCGAGAGUAAGACAAGAACAGUCAUGAGUUCCAAAUAUGCCUUCUUUAUAAAAAAAAAUUUGUCGUUAACAGUGCGCGUGUGUGUCUCCAGCAACUUCUAAUGUGACCCAAAUGGCCAAAUGUUACGGAGCCCUACGUGUUCUGGAGUUUCAAAGAGACGUAUGAAGACCACGAUGCAAAAAUGAUGUCUGCCUUUUCUCUGUCCGGUCAUCCAGGGUGUCACCUGGAGUUUUCAAGGUGUAUUUGGUUGCAUGCACCACAUGAUAUAUGCAUAGAUGAUUCUACAUGAGUGGUUCAACCAAUUUGCUUGUACCAUAUGGUUCAUUCUAAUUAGUAGAAUAAUGUAACACAGUGUUUUACCAUACAUUUGCAUAUCAACAGUCUCGCAAACCUGCAAACCUUCAAGGGUAUUAUAGUCAUUUCUUACCAAAAUUACAGUAUCACAGCUGUUUCAAUCAAACGGCUUUCAGCUUUUUCACACCUCAUAGCAUCUUUUCCAUAACCCGCAGCUCACAUCAACUUUUUCACAGCUCACAGUUCAACAAAAUAGACCAUAUAUAAGUAUGUUCGUGUGCUUUCAAAUUGCACGGGCAUCCUAAACUUACCCUCAGCUGCAAUUUAGGUCCAUGUGUUUGCAAAUGCUGAUCUAAGUAACUGAAUUUAGCUUAAUUGAUUAUUUUUUCUUAUGAUGGAACCUGCUUACCUGACUUCAAAUGCACUGAGUGCUCAUAUUUUUCUAAAUUUAUUUUAGGAAAUAAUAACUAUGUUUUUUAAUGGUUAGCGAUGUACCCGUCAAUAACGAGGUCCUUAUGUUUCGUCAAUCUCAAAAUCUGUUAGUUCAAUCUCUCUGAGAUAUGGUCAUAGGGAUAGGACGUGUGUGUUUGUAUGGAAAAGUUGACUUCACUUUUUUUUUGCUAGUUUUUUUCCAUGCAACACCUUCACAUCUAGAGACCUCCCAUAAAAGUACAUAUAUAGAAGCCUACAUACAUGCAUGCACAAUUACACAAUAUACACCUUUAGAGGAUCCGCUGAGGCUACUAGGGUCCCGUUUGGCAGAACUCUCAAAACUGAUUCUCCACUAAAUCCAGUAGGAACUCUGCCAAACAGUUUUUUAGAGAGAAGUAAUUCUCUAAUGAUUCUGUGAAGUAAUCCUCUGAAAUGAACUAAGAGGCUGGGAGCUGAAAAAAGUAGUUUCUCCUGAUUUUGUGAAGUAAUUCUCCAUUCUAAUUUUAAGAGUUUAUGCUAGAGAAUUAAAUAGAAUCGUUUUCAACACUUUUCUCAGAGAAUCAGAUGGAGUUCUAACCAAUAUUACGUGCGAAUGGUGGGGACGUUGUUUUUUAUGGAGGGGGUCAUGUUGGAGACAAACUUUGCUCAAAAAAUUGUUUUAGUUCCCAAACUAUCGAAAGGGUCAAUUUAGUCCCUGAAUUGUUGUUUGUAGUUCAAUCUAGUCGUUAGUCUUACAUGGCAUGCCAUGUGAGCUGACCGGUAUGCCCACAUGCAAAAUGUCCAUAUUACCCGUCCUCUUUUUUCUCACCCUCUCGCUUCCAUGCGGAUCCCACCUCUCAGUUAAAAAAAAAAUGGUCCGGUCCUUCGAUCCCUUGUGGUGCAUGUGGCUCCCGGUCCCAUCCCGCCGGCCGGCCAAGCAGGUGGAGCGCAUGAAUUGGCCUGUUCGCUUCAGCUUAUCAGCCGGCUUAUCAGCCACCGAACAAUGUUUUUCUCUCAUAACAAAUCAUCUGUUUCAGCUUUUCAGCCGGCUUAUAAGUCCAGCCGAACAGACCAAUACAGCUCGGCAGGGAAGACCGGCUAGACGAAGAUGCAUCGGCAAAGGAUGUCAUUGGUCUUACGUCUUGCCUUGGCCUUAUAUUUUUGCAUGUGCGAUGCGUAAUUUCUUCAAUUUCUUCAUGAGGCUCGGCGACACAUCCACAUCUCAACCAUUUAUUUGGUUUAUUUUUAUUUUUCCCUCAACCAUUUCAACCCUGACAGGUGGGACCUGCUUGGAAGCGAGAGGAUGAGGAAAAAAGAUGAAGGGUAAUUUGGACAUUUUGCAAGAGGACGUAGCAGUCAGAUGACGUGGCAUGGUAACUUGGUCCCACAUAAGACCGCAGACUAGAUUGAACUAUAAACAACAGUUCAGGGACUAAAUUGGUACUUUUGAUAGUUUGGGGACGAAACCGAUCCUUUGAGCAAAGUUGGGGAACCAAUACAGACUAUUUUUCCAAUUGCUAACGGACGAGUAAAGUGCAUGGCAGCGUUAAGUGUCCGUGUACUUUCAAAUUGCACUGUCCUCCUAAACUUACCAUGGGAUGCGAUUCAAAUCCAUGUACUCCCAAAUGCUGAUCUAGCGUACAGAAUUUAUCUCAAUUGGUUAUUUUUCUUCUGAUGGAACUUGCCUAACCUGCCUAUCCGACUUCAAGUGCUCGACUCGUCAACACAGCUACUCGUAUUUUCCAGAAUUUAUAUCAAGAAUCAAUGACUAUAUUUUUUAAUAGUUUGUGAUGUACCCGUCGAUACCGAGGUUAUUGUGGUGAUUUCGUCAAUCUCAAGAUCUGUGUCAAUCUCAAGAUCUGUUAGCCCAAUAUAUCUCAUAUGUACUCGUAGGGAAAGGAUGUGUGUGUUUGUAUGGAUAAGUUUUAAGGGUCUAUUUGGAUCCGUUAGCUAAACUUUAGCAGCUAAACUUUACUAAACUUGAGUUGCUAAACUUUAACCAUGACUGUUUGGAUCCAUGGGCUAAACAUCAUUUAAUGAGGUGUAGAAAGACCUGUCUGCCCUUAUUUAAUGCGAGGGGGGAGACAGAGAGAGGGUCCAGACAAGCAAUAAUGAGGGGCAAAAAGUGUCCAGCCCCAAGUUUAGCAAGGUUUAGCAACCAAAAAGUUGUUAAAGGACUAAAGUUUAGCAACCAUAGUUUAGCAAAAUUUAGCAAGGGUUUGUUGCUAAACUUUAGCUGCUAAAGUUUACCAAGGGGUAUCCAAACACCCCCUAAGUUGACAUCAUACUUUUGUUGCCAGAUUUUUUGAUGCAACACCUUAGAUUUCCUCCCUCAUAUAGAUGCCUAGAUACAUGCACGAAAUGCUUACCCAUAUAAAAAGGCACACUUAAAUACUAUGCACCUAGAGUACCAUAAAAAAAUACUGGACCCGCAGAUCAUGAGAAUGACGAAAUUACCACAGCCACCUCACUAUGAACGGGUACGCCGCUUACUACUAAAAGAAUAAUUAGCCAUAAAUGCAAGCAAUUGUCUUGAAGUUGGAGACUUGGAACUUGGAUGAGCAAGUUCAACCAAAAAAUCUAAUCAACCUAGAAUGUCGCUAUGGCAGAGAGUUUGCAGCAGCUUUUGAAAACUAUGGCUAAACAUGUUGAAAGAACACAACUCUAAUUAAUUCUAACUAGAAUGGGUCCUACUACCAAAGUAGUAUUUCUUGGAAAGAAUGGAAUUUUUCUACAUUCCCAACAUGAUUUUUUUCUCUCUCAAAAACACAGUUCCCAACAUGACCUACAAAGAACCUUUGAUCGAUUAGCACAUAAUAUUUCCUCGGCAGUUAUUCUAGGGAUCUAGCCAGAUUGCAUCUCUAUUCUCUAGUGGCCUAGAGGGCUUCUGAGCAUUUUGGUUGUGUAUUGGCAGCAGAUGGACAACACAUGAUGGAUGCACUCAUCGAAUUUUGGAUUAGUGAUCAAUCGGGCCAUCGGCUAAGUGCAUAUGCAGGCGAGGCCCCUUUGCAUAUGCAGGCCGGAGCUGUAUGCGCAAAAAAAAAAUUCAAUUGCAAAAACAAAAAAGGAAUAAAAGAGAUGAUGGCGGAUUUGCUGCCGUCGAUCUACUAGGUUUGCACACGAUCCAUGCUAUUGCUCUACCAUUGCCACCAUGCUGCGUUACUCGCUCUCCGGAUCAACCAGAGAAGGGAAAAAUUGAAGGGGGAAAGGUAGCAAUAGAAACACAUAAAAGAUUUGGAAAAAAAAAUCUUGCGACGAGGUUCCUGUUGUGCCACUCGUUGAGUGGAACCUGAAUCACCUCAUGACGGCGUGCUUCCAAGAGCCGCACUAUACACAGUCCGCCGAGAUCAGCACUAUACGCGGCCUGCUAGGAUCUGCACUAUAUGCAGUCCGCUAGGAUCCGUUAGCCUUGAUGAAAAACCGUGGAAGGGACUACCUCUUCCAUCGAGAAUCCACAUAAUCUGGGGCAGAGAGAGAGAGAGAGGGAGGGGGAGAGGGAUAGAAUUUGAGGGAGGAGGGAGAGAGAGAGUUUGCUCACCCUCCCCUUCAUGGUACCAGUUAAAGCAUAGUCUUAGCCACAUCGCAGCUCCCAAUCAGCAGCCCUCGAGCCGCACCAGAUCCCGCUAUGCCAGCAUAUGUGGAUCUCGCGGGUUCUGAGUUCCUAUCCCCCAUGGCGGCAUGCAUCUGCCUCACCUGUUGAUGGCGAGUCGGAGGUGGCCGCGGAGCAGGGGAGGUGUACUGAGAUCCGUUCGAGCCACCUCUGCGGUGUGUUGUGGAAGCCAACAGGGUAGAAAAGAGGGAGGAGGAAAAGGUAAAGGGAAUGAGAGGGAGCUCUUGUCGAUAGAAGAUAUAGGGGAAAAGGUUCUCUGAGUCAGGCACACUCACGUGAAAAAAGGGAAGAGGGGCAGCGGUGCAUGUCAACAACGUGUUGAUGACCUGUAGGGACUCCACAUACAGCGAAAUUAGAUCACCUAACCAGGGGCAAACAAGUUCAACUAUAUACCAUGGGAAGAAUGUAUGAUCCAUACAUAACUCCUAAGUCUCCAACUAGCAACUUAGUGGGAUGGUCAUUGAAGGCAACAAUCGCUCCAAAGUCUUUGAGAUUUCAUUCUAGCGGCCCCUGUCCCAUCCCUCUUUUUUCUGGUAAUUGAAAUAGUUAGGUAGUUUUUGGUUGUCAACUUUAAACCUUAGCAUAUAAGGAAAAUGGAAGAGUUGUAUAAUCGUAAACGAUUUAAGCAAUUACUUAUUUUGUUUGGUUUUGCCCAAUAAUGAAGUAUGGUGUUAAAAACAAAAAUUAAAGAAGAAGUAUAUAUGAUCAACGAGACGGUGACAAUGAUAAAGAUCUUUUGCCUGGCAUUUUGCCCUGGCAACAGCACCAUAAUGUUCCUGACAACCUGCAGGCUGUGGCGGUAAUGGGCGUUCAUUUGCAAGGUGUACACGAUCGUUGUGGAGACGAGGUCAGGGUGCAUCUAAUUUCAAGGACUUGUUCGACGUUGUUCUUCUGGAGUACUCUCUGUCACUAUUUGUUUUGACUUUUCUAAAUACAUAUUUAAAAAGAUCAAAACGAAUAGUAAUUCCAGGAAGUACGUAGGAAGCAAGCGGACACGAGGAUUAGAAUGGGCAGUGAGCCUCAUUACACUAGGUAGGCAGCAGUAUCUGUUUACCUAGUUUUUCCUUAUCUCCGUGGGAUUUGAUUGUGCCAGCGUCUAAACAAACACAGGUUGCCUCCAGAAAGGAAUUAUAUUAAAAAACAUGAACCAAAGAGAAUCUAAUAAGUUACACGCUCGUGAGACUUUGAUGCGAAUUUAUGCCAGUUAUAGGUCAUCUGUAAAGUUCCACUUAAAAAUCUUUUCCAUUGAUUUCUAAUUCUCUUUUUGUCAGGUGAAUUUGUUUUCAAUUUCAUGCUUAUUUUUUCAGUUACAUUCUAGAUUCUUGUGUUCAAGGUGGUCUGGUUCUGGUAACUCGCGGCCAGGAAGAAGAUGAGGUCCCUGGCCUCGACAAAUUGCAGAAUCAUGUCAUGGCGCUUACGAAUGACUAGUUACAAAUCUUAUUAUUAGUAAAAAAACAGAGUAUGUAUAAGAACCUGGUACACUAGUCUUGCAGCAUCACUUUGUGUUUGGAUUGAGGAUCGAAGUGGGUUGAGAUGGGUUUUACAAAACAGAGUAUGUACAAGAACCUGGUACACUAGUCUUGCAGCAUCACUCUGUGUUUGGAUUGAGGGUUGAAGUGGGUUGCCAACCCACUUUGCCCCAUGUUUGAUUGAAUUCCCAACCCAGAUGGGAAUAUUCCUACGAGAUCCGGGUCGAGCGCAUCCCAUUAAAUCGGAGGGACUGCAUGAACCCAGUCCGACGCCAUCUCCGUGCUUGCCUGCGCGCUGGGGAGGAGCUGGGAUGCCGGGUGGUGGCGGGCGCGGGGAGGUGGCGGGGGAGGUCGCCACCGUGGGGAGGCCGCCACCGCGGCGGAUGCAGGGGCCGGCGGCGGCAAGGGAGAGCAGGGGGUGCGUGGGAGGAGCCAGUAGAGGAGCCGUGCGGGGAGGAGGAAGAAGGUAGAAGAGGAAGGGAGGAAAAAAAGAGAGGCUGACUGGUGAGCCCCGCAACUGAUAGGUGGGGCCCACAACUAACGGUGUUAAAAGGACAUCCAUCCUAACCUUCUCAACCUCAUCAAGCAAACAAAAAAAUGGAUCAGCUCCAACCUACUCAUCCAAACAUGAGAUGAGAUGGCUCCAACUCAACUCACAUCGUCCCAAAAUCAAAAGCUACCUUAGUCUCUUCCUCUUCAAAUAACUGCUUCUCGUCACGGCCAGGCUCUCCGCCGCCGCUUCCACGGCGCAAUUCGUGACGUAGUUGUAGUAGGGCGGUAUAGGGGACCGCCAUGCUAGCACGCCCAUCUUGUCCUCGCCACGGGGCACGGCGCGGCCGUCGAGCACGUCCUGCAGCGUCACCUUGGGAAGCUCGGCGCUCUGCGCCGGACCGGGUCGCCACGUCCCCGUCUGCUUGCGCCAGUCGUAGUAGAAGCAGAGCGGCGCGUCCUCGGCGGCGCCGCAGAGGUAGGCGAGCCUGCUGCGGCCCGGCAGCCGGCUCGGGUGCUCGCCGAAGGCGGUGUAGUUGGCGCGCACGCCGCGCCUGACCACCUCCAGCACGCGGCGCCAGAACCGCGCGUCCAUGCUCGAGUGCAUCAGCCGGGAGAGGAUGUUGGCGGCCAUGAACGACCCCUUGAGCUCGUCCACGAGGUCCAUGGCGAUGGAAGCGAGCUCCGGGUGGUCGCCCGGGUCGGCGCUGCCGAAGGCGAGGACCUUGAAGAAGUGCCAGUAUUCUUCUUUGUGCAGGGUUGCCAGCCUCAGUGCCUGUCCCGUUCCUAGAGUUGAGACCUGCUCUGUUUGGCUGAUGACGAUGAUCUUGCUUGAUUUGUCGCUGUUGCUAACAGAGGAGUAGAACCUUCUCCAAGCUGAGGCAUCCGGCGCACCGGCAAACUCGACGAUGAUCAGUGAUCCCCCGCCGCUCGGGACGUGUUCCUGGUGCUCAGGAAUCAGAUCAUAUUCGCCGUCUCCAAGUUCGUCGCCGCAGAGAUGGGUGAUCAGAGGGAAUUGCUUCCGCACCCUGUCGUCGGCGCAGACGUGCUCCACGAGAGUCUUCUUCCCAACCUCCGGUGGGCCGGUGAUGGGGAGGACUCCGGGAAGCGAGCAAGGCCGCAGCAGGAACUCGAUAACCCUCUCCAUCUCGCCGUGCCGGCCAAACAUGCACCGGCCCAUGUGCAGAUACGUGCUGUACGGCUGGCGACCGACGCGCGGGUAGCCGCCGAGGAACACGACGAACUCCUUCAUGUCGCCGAGCACGGCCUCGAGGCUGUCAACGACGGCCUGGAGCUCGUUCAUGCUGUCUCCGCUUACCUCCACUGCUCCUUCACCGUUGUUGCCGUCGACGACCGCCGCCGCGUCGAAGUACGGCGAGGAGGAGGAGGAUCUGCGGCGCGCCGCGAGGACGCGCCUUCUUGUGCUGACGGCGGCGAGCCUCCGGGAGGCGUCGAGGACGUAGUGGCCCCGGUACAUGCCCUCCCUGAGACGGCCGAGCUGCAGGAGCAUACCGCGGUUGGUGAUGUGCCGCGUCUCGGCCUCCUCGACGACGGCGCGGGCACGCAGGAGGAGACGGUGCAGCCUCCCAAGUUUGCUGGCGGCGGCAUGCUUCUGGUACCUGGCGAUGAGGAAGGAGAGGCACCGGCCGAUGAGGUCGCUGACCACCGCAGAGGCCAAGGCGUCCAUUGCUGAAACUGAUCGAGGAGUUUCUUGCAGGCUGCUGGUUAGUGAUUACUGAACCGACGAGUGGAUUCCCGCCGGUUCGCGAGAAAAAGUUUGAUGCCAUGGAUGGAAUGUGGAGGUCCAAGUCAAGGGUCAACCCCUGAGACAGCACGGCGGUGACUGUCCCGGUUUGUGGUUCCCCUUCCAAGCAGGCGGCUGGUCGUCACUCGUCAAAGUUGCAUACAGCUGAUAAGCCGGUGAAGCAAUCAAUUUAUUGUGAAAUGUUAACAUAAAAAGGACCAGCCCAGAAUCUGUUUACUGUUCUUUUUUUAAAAAAAAGACAUCCUAAACAUCGAACUCGAAGUCUUUUUUUUUGUUUCAUCAAUGGUGUUUCCGAAGAAAUGGUUGAAUAAGAUUUAGUGAACUUUCAAACGUACGACGUCUAACAACCCCAUUUAAAAAAUCCGAUUCAGAGAACAAUGAACCCUAAAAACAAGAAUGGGGAUUGGGGUGUGCAUUUUUUUUUUUCAAGAUGAUUUGUUGUUGCAAAAGAUUUUGGGCUCAGAAUUGAAGAAGGCUGACAAUGUUCACCGGAAUGUAUGAUGUUGAGUAACACAACAAGGAUAUGCUGACCACAGGUAACAAAUAAGUGCCCAGGGUAGUUUAAAGAACCUUUUUACAAUCCUUGACUAGGAUCCCGAUCAACUAGAGAUUGUGAAAAAACGUCUUUAGCUUGUGAAUUGUUAAGAGUAAAUUUCUUUUAUGCCAUUAAGAAAAUUCCAAUCUCUUUGGUGCCAUCAGAAAUUUUGGAGAAGACACGGCAGUUUAGUCCUUAACAGAGCUCAGAGGUAUGGAACGUGACGUUCAUGGAAGGGAACAGAAAAUUUUUAACUGGUGGCAUAGAAGGAAACUCAAAAUUUGAUGGUACCAAAGGGAUUUGAAAUACUACUUCUAGAUUUCAACAGCCUAUAAUACCGUUAGUGGAGACGUGGGUAUGUGAAUGACAAAGGUGGCCAUUUCCAGUAAAAUCCAAUUGCCAAUUUGGUCUUUUUUUUCAAUGCACAAGAUGGCAAAAGCUAAUGAGAGGCAACUUAUGGGAUUGUUAAAAGAUGGUAAAAGUUGGCAUGCUUAGAUCAACCAGACCUUUUAAAACCAACAAUCCGCACUUUAGCCGAUCCAGACAGGGCCUAGAAGUGUAGCAUGAUUUUGGUAGAAGAGGUGCGUGAUGCUAGUUUCUCUCAAGUUAAAAUUAGUAGCUCUUUGCGAACUGAGUUAGUGAACUGCCCAUCCAAGUCUUCAACUCAACGUAGGUGCUUGUAUUUUUUUAUAUUUAUUUCAAGAAUUAACCAUGCUAUUCUUAAUUUUAGUGGUAAGUGGUAUGCCCGUUGACAACGAAAUGCUUAUGGUGACUUUGUUAAUCUCAAGAUUUGUUGCUCAGUUUCUCAACAAUGCUCGUCUAAGAGUAGGAUGUGUGUUUGUAUCGAUAUGGGUAAUUGUCGUAAACAUCUGCAUGGGUAUCGCUGUUUUGAAAAAAUGGGCUUGUUUUACCUUUCCAAGAAAGAAAAUAAAGCUCCUGCGUGCCAUUUUUGUUAGGAGACAUGAAGGCGAUAGACACCCUACUACUAUUAUUAUAUGUGUUAUUCAUGCGACUCUAACAUGAACUCACUACUCACACUUAUGAAAAUUAUCAAGAGACUGCUUGAACAGAUCAUGAGAAUAUCAAAGUUACCACAUCCACCUCAUUGUGAACGGUACACCACUUACUAUUACAAAAAUUAGCCAUAAAUGCAAGUACUCGCAUCGAGUCAAAGACUCGAACUUGGAUGAUCAUAUUCCACCAUUACAAAUCUCACCAACCAAGUGAUGACUAGAGAUUUUGCAACAGUUUUAUAAACUAUGACUAAACACAUAGAGAGAAACAACUCCAAUUAAUUCUAACUAGAAUGGACCCAUUACCAAAGUACUCCAACUAUUAAUGACAUUUGCACACAUUUCUAAGAGUAAUAAUAUUUUUCUCGGUGGCUAAUGUUAAUAAUAUUUUCCACUUGUUAAGAGUGCGGAAAUUGAUUGGGGGGUGGGUUGGGGGGGGGGGGGAGCACAACAUAUAGGUGGGGUAGCCCUCACCCAUCGGGCUAGUCUUUUGGGUUGAGUUAGGCCCAAGUCCUUGUUGUGGGCUCUGGUGGGGCGCCGUCUCGUGGGUAUAACAGGUCGGGUGGAUUCUGCUACGCACUCUAACAGUUAAUCUAGGGAUCUAGCCAUUUCUCAUCAUUAGUGGCCUUGAUGACUCCUGAUCAUAUGGUUGCGUGGCAAUUUGUAAGAGAUGGGACUAAAGGUUGCAAAUGAUGGAUGUAGUAGAGUUUUGGACUAAGAACCAAUGUUGGCUAAGUGCGUAUGUAGGCGGGGCCGCUUCAAAACCUGGAGCCUGGGGUGGUCGCCACAUUCACCAUCCCUAGGUCAAGGAGAUGGGCACACCAAAAUUUCAAUUGAAGAAAACAGAGGAUGGAGGGGGAGGAUGGGGCAGUGGGUAGAUCCGCCGGUGGUAAUGACCCACUGGACUCACACAUGCCCUAUGCCACUACUCUACCUUGGACACCACACCACAUCACUCACUUGUCAGGGCAACCGGAGGGGUAGGGGGGAAAGGAUGAAGACGAAAAAUAAUUGUAGAAACACACAAUAAAAUUUGGAAAAUAAUUAAAAGGAAAGAAAAAACUGGUGAUGAGCUUCAAUCCCUUGGUGCCACUCGUUGGGUGGAAACCAAGUCGCCUCACAGCGGUGAGAUCCCGAGAGCCACACUAUGUGCUCUCCAACCGGAUCUGUCCCCUUCACUAGGAAUCCACCGAGAGAUUGCACCCACCAGUUGAAGUGCCACCGCAUGCUUCACAUAUGCUCCAUCACACCACCUCUUGUUACUCAACUCCCAGCUAGCGAUGCACGGGGGGAGUUUCCUUGAGCCGCACCAGAUCCUGCUACGUCGGCAUGUGCAGAUCCCGCGAGCUUUGGGUUCUGGUCCCUCUCCAUGGUGACAUGUGCGUUCCAUGCCUAACGCAAACAAACAACACAGUGGAAAGACCAUUGGAGUGGAGGUAACAAUCACACUUUUAUUGAGACUAAACUUUGGUUCCAGUUGUCAUCCCACCCUUGUUUCCACUAUAUUUGAAAUUUUUUCUAUGCUUGUUAGUUUUUGAGGAGAAUUUAGACCAACAUUAAUUGUGUAUAUCUACGUUUGGAAUGUUGCUUAUGUUCCAUUUUUGGUCCCACAUACAAAUAAACUUUGGUUCCGGUUGUCAUCCCACCCUUAUUUCUGCUCUAUUUGAAAUUAGUUGUAUGCUUGUGAGUCUUUGAGGAUAAUUUUUUUUAUGUAACAGGAGGGGUGUGACCUCCAGAAAAAUAUUCGGUGCAAACGACCUUCUCGCGGUGGAAAUGUGAAAAUCCCUUAAAAAUCAUACUUUCAAGUAUUAAUUUUUUUUUGAAAUGAUGCACAUUCAUAGUGCAUCCAUAGACACACUUUGUGGCAAAAGAUGGGAUGCAAAACCAUUUUUGCAAAAAUUCAUACAAAAAUGACAAAUUUCAAGUGCAUAUGCACUAGAAGACCAAUUUCCAGGAAUUUCAUCUUUUAGUGUUUAUGCACAUGAAAUUUAUCAUUUUCAUUUGAAUUUUCCUAUUUUGAGUUUGCAUCGCAACUUUUGCCACAAAGUACAUCUAUGGAUUUUUUGAACACUUACAAAUAUGAUUUUUGAAGGGGUUUUCACGUUUCCACCGAGAUGGUGGUUUGCACCGAAUAUUUUUGUGUGACCCCCUAUUAGUUAUAUAUUAAAACAAUAAAUAAAGUAUUUUACAGGGAACAAAAAGAUCAAAGAAAGAGAAAGAGAAAAGAGAAAAUUACAGCAGAUUUUGUAUCCAUUCCUUGUGUGCAUAUAUCCACGGCUGGAAUGUUGCUUAUGUCCCAUUUUUUUCUCCUUCGAGAUCAUUUUCAAUUCAAAGAUUGAAGCCGAUGAUUUUAGUUUUUUCAGUUUACCUAGCAUCCCAGUUUCUUUUCAUGGGCUAGUCAGCAUCCUCAUGAUCUUUAGUUUUUUCAGUUUACCUACCAUCCUGAAGAUCUAGCUGCCAGGUAUUCAGAAACCUGACAGCCUCCGCACAAUUGCAAGUAACCCGAUCCUUUGUACCAGGUGCAACCACUAACCACGCACUAGCAGUCAACGUGAUACAGAUCCAAUCUUGGGUUAAGCCAUUAAGAUCAAAUCAGUGAAGGAUGGUCUGACCUUCCCCCCUGGUCAAUCGAAUGGGAUAACUUUUUUCGACUUACGAGAUGCAAAUCAAACAUAAAAAUGAGCACAAAGUUUACCAAUCAAUUCAGAAAACGACCUGCUGUGAACUAUCCAAUAACUCAAAGUCUUGCUUAAAAUCAAGUCCGUGACAAAUGCUCGAAGGUAAUAUGGUACAAACACGGGCAAUUGAGAGCUUGCAAAGUUCCAACCAUUUAAUAAAAAUGAAGACUAAAAUGAGUUCCUUCUCCAGGUAUAAUAUUAGCUGCAACAGAAGCUUAUAUGCGGUAAUUGUGCUGCAUGUUUUUGGUAACAAACGUCUAUUUUGUAAAUGGGAUAGUUGUGUGUCCACAGAUAGAUGUGCUACAUGUUUUUGGUAACAAACGUCUAUUUCGUAAAUGGGAUAGUUGUGUGUCCACAAAUAGAAGGAAUAGUACACUUUUGGGGAAUGCGCCUUUAGUACCUGGUCAAAAUCCAUCUUUAGUACCGGUUGUGCAACCGGUAUUGUUAUUUCGCCCUUUAGUACCGGAUCAAAUAAUCGGUACUAAAGGGGUAUUAAAAAAUAAAAAAAAAAGAAAUCCGCCAACCGGAGACCUGACCGUACCCUGCAGCCAUCCGCUAGAGCCCUAGAGCCCCGGCCGCACACCUGAGCCCCGCACCAGAGAGAGAGAGGGAGGGAGGGAGGGAGGGAGGCGGUGUACUUACGCUGCUCAGCCACCGCCGCUGAUUGCUGCCACCGCCGGAUCUGAGGGAGAGGUGGCCGCUACUCCAAGAUCCACACGCUCCUUGCUCCACCAUGCCUGCCGACGCUCCACCACCGCGCCCUCCCGCCGGAGCUCCGCUGCUCCUUGCCCCGCCGCCGCUCCUUGCUCCGCCACGCCCUGCCAACGCUCCACCGCCUUGCCGCACCCUCCCUUCCUGCCUCCGCUGCUCCUUGCCCCGCCGCCGCUCCUUACCACAUGUAAGAGGUGAGGGGCGAGUGGAGGGGGGAGGAGAGGGGCGGCGACGGGGGCGGGGGGAGGGGGGGAGGCGGCAAUGGGAUCUGUGGGAGGGACAAAGGGAGGGGAUUCAGCUGCGGAGAGAGAGGGGAUUCGGCGGGGAGAAGAAGAGAGAGAGGCGCAGGUGAGAGGAUGAGGGGGACGAGCAGAUAAGUGUGGGGAGGGGGUGAGAGAGAGAAGGGAGGACUGAUGCGUGAAGAGAGGUUGCGAUUUAGUACCCGGUGAAGCGUCCACCCGGUACUAAAGGCCUUCAGGCACAUUAGUACCGGUUGGAGGCUUCAACCGAUACUAAUGGGUGACUUUAGUACCAGGUGAAGUCUCCACCCAGUACUAAAGGGGGUCAUAGGGGUUCCUCGGGGACUAGCUGUUAGGUCCGGUACUGAGCCUCAGGAUGAAUGCUGAGUUUUCCAGUAGUGAUAACUAUUAUCACAUAAUAUCUUGUGGACUAAGGGACUGAUUGGUGGGGCACCAAAAUGUGCCAAACCAAAAUCAGGGCAAGCCCAAUGAUUCUAGUGCUCGCUUGGUUCAAAUCCAAAAAACUGGCGUGCCAAAGUUUCUGGCACAUCGGCAAGGUUCAGCUUGCCCACGUUUUGGCUGUCCCUGCCAUGCUCCCGUAUUCCCAUCCCUUACUAGUUUGCGCUAUUGUCCUCUACCUGUCAUCUCACUUCUUGCAGCCUCCAGCCAACCCGUCAUCGUCUCCUCUCCUCAAGUACCCAGGUUCUCACCCAUCAACAACAAAGCACUGGAGCUGGAGUUCCACCACCACCCUUUCCCGUUGAAGAUUAAAGGGAACUACCUUGAGUAUAGAUGGGGUAGCAAAAUCUUUCCAUCCGUUGUUAUGCAAGCUGCAUAUUCUAAAAGUGUGUGCUAGUAUGAAUCAUGAACAUUGGCAGUUGUGUUUUGGCAUCAAACCAAUUGGGGGCCAAAAUUUUGGCUGCCACAUUUUGGCACCCAACCAAGUGCCAUCCUAAAACUUUUGCUCAGAUUUUGGCAUGCAAAUUUUGGUAGGGCACAUUUUGGUGCCCAACUAAUCAGACCCUAAAAUUAAAAGUCUGUGGUUAGAAACUUAUUAUGUUCAAUUUGAACCUCUAAUUUAUUAGUUCCAUUUUGGGUUUUGCUACAGUGCGCCGGAUACUUCCCAGGAGGUACAGGAGUUCACAUAAAUCAUAGCCGUUGAUUUGUAGAAUAACUUAUUCAAGAAAUUAAAAAAAUCAAGGAAAAGAAGAAAAAAAUCCAUCCCAGGAAUCACGUUAUUUCUUCUUCAUCCGGCUCUUUCCUUGUCACCCACGGAGAGAAAGAAAGAAAAAGCUACACCGACAUGGAAGUCGGAACGCAGGUCCUCGGCGACACCUCUCGUGAAUCCUCCCCAUUCUGCAGCAUCCCUUAAAUUGUGGAAGCAAAUCAAAUCCAGGUUCAAGAUUUUCGAUCUAAUCGCAAUCGACUUUACCUGCUAGAUCUAAUUGCCACGUUAAAAGAAAAGACGUGAUACAUGCCAUCACGUGAAAAGUCAUCCAGAUCGAUGACAUCAUUUAUUUCGGUCGUCGCAACGUCCACUUUGAUAACGUUCGAUACCGCGGAUGAUCCAAGAUUCAUAAACGAUGUUUUCAAAUUUGGUUACGCAUGCGACGUGCUUCCUUGGUGGGCUAUAAAGGUAACUUGUGUGACGUACUUCCUUGGUGGGCUAUAAUAAUCUUCUAUCAAGAGUAAUGGAGCGAUAGCAAGAACUAGAUCUCUUUCAAGCCUUGUGGUCCUAUUAUCUUCCAGAGUCAUUAUCAUCGUGAAUUUAAUUCUAACUUUCCAACAAGGCAGCUAUUCGAGUAGCUACAAUAUGUCUAUUUCUCUAAACCAGCUGUGCCUUUCAAUCUCUUUUGUCCUUCCGUUCGUUCACUUAAUUUCAUCGAGGAAUUGACAAGAUCAAACGUGCUUUACCGUAGGAGUUACCACGCGCACUCACCCAUAUGAAUACACAUAUGCAACCCUAUCCAUAUGAGCAUAUUUGAGAGACACCAAUAUUAUUUUUCUUUCGCAAAACACAGUAAGUUCAUGUAUACACACGCAUACUCACCCUUAUGAAUACACACAUGCAACCCUAUCCAUAUGAGCAUAUUCGAGAGACACCAAUAUUAUUUUUCUUUUGCAAAACACAUAUAGAUGCAUAAGUUCAUGUAUACACAUGCACACUCAUCCCUAUGAAUACACAUGCAACCCAAUCCCUAUGAGCAUAUUCGAGAGACUGGGCUGACAGAUCUCGAGAUUGCGUGUACCUCACUAUAGACGGACAUGUCGUCUAGGUACCACUGAAAGAAUAGUAUUUAGCAUCUGUUAAUUCCUAGAAUAAAUCUAGGAAAUAUUCCAAGUCGAGGACUCGAACCGAGUGGGUAGGUUCUACCACAAGAAAUCAUAGUAACUACGCUUAGUUCACCACCUAUAGAUAUUUAGCAUGAUCUGUGCACAGCUUUUCUUAGUAUCCAACCAAACUUGGUGAUUCGUGGUUUUGAAAAGGUUUUUUAAAGCUCAGCUAGGAUUUUCUGGGUGGGACCUUCAAAAUAAAAAAUGGUUCACAAACCAGAUUCUAGUAGGAGAUCUGGAUAGGACUUAAACCACUUAAGGAAAAAUUUUCUAGCCUGUAUAAGAUAGUCAAUUAUUACCCUCAUGUUACAAUGACAAAUGUGAUACAUCAAAUGCCACUCAAUAUCUAUUUUCAAAGAGCUCUAGUAGGGGGAUAAGUUGACAGUGUGGCAUAAUACGGUAGCUCAAAUAACUUUCAGAUUUCUAACGAGUGGGAUAUUUUUACCUUCAACCUACAUAAACAUGGGACUGUAGAGCAGAGACAUCACACAAAUAUUCUAUGCAAUUAUGGCUAGACUCUCAAUUGUAAUUUUGCUUAUCUUUUUUGUUUCCUUUUAUGUUUCUUGAGGUUUUAUUUGUAAGCUAAACUCUUGUUUCCUUUAAUAUAUAUAAUCAGUAGGGGCUCUCCUCUCCUGUUACCAUCAAAAAAAACAUGGGACCGUACGAUCAAUGUAUCAAUACCUAAUUAACCAAUUUCCAACCGUAAGAAAUUCAUAUGGAAGUUAAAAAAUCCUCUAAAAAUUGGUACCUCCAACAAGAAAUAAUUUUAAUAAAGGAUAAUUUGGCCAAAAGGAAUUGAUUUGGGAGGCAAAAGUGUUGUUUCUUUUAUUGCAAGGAAACAACUAAACACAUCUUAUUUGACUACCAUGCCAAAGCAAUUUUGAGGAUUGUUCAUAUUGUUACCGAGUUAACUUCACCUAGAUCUAUAGUUCAUAUGUUUGGGGAAUUGGUUAACAGGCAUAGAAAAGAAGAAGAAAAAUGAUCUUUGUGGGGUUGUAGAACUUCUGUGGGGUAUUUGAUGUACACAAUGAUUUAUUUUUUAAUAUGAAAACAAUUUUUCUUUUAUGCAGGCUACUUUUAGAGAGAACAUAUUAGCUAUGAUUUUGGACACUAUUGCAGCGUGCAGAUAGGGAGACAGUCCACCUAGCAAGAAGUCAUUGCUUUGAAUAUUUUCACAAAAAUAGUGGAGAACCAGUAAUAGACUUUGCAAAUUGGUUGUAAUUGUUUCCUUUCAUUUGUGUGCCCCCCCCCCUCUUGCGCCCUCGUGAACAAUGCUUGAGAAUAUUGUGAGAAUUUGACUGUGUGCGUCCGGCAGAGGUCUAAAACAUUUCCUUUUCCUAAAAUAUAAAAGUGUGUAGGGUGGUUUAUCAAUUUGCGUAGAGGACUCCUUGUUGGUCAUAUACAGGAACAGAAUAUAAAUAAAAGAACUCUGAUGUUUAGGUGGGUGAAAUGAUUAUGAGAAAUUUACUUCAUGUGUCCACCUCUUGCAGUACCAUCUUAAUUUCAAAGCUGUAAGCAUCAUGCUUUUAAUUUGCAUCAUUUUCAGUUAGCUUUCCUAUAGCCAAUGCAUUUGUACGACAAAAAUGACAACCUAUUAUGGUCGUGCAAUAUGUUUAUUGCCCUAAGCCACAUGUGUUUUUCAUUUCAUUCUUGUUGUUUUGCGUGGGCUCUAUACUUUCCCCUAGAGAAUACGAUGACAACUUGCCUCAAGCCCUCGACUAGUCCUAACAUAGAGGCCAAUAAAGACAAUUAGAAAGAAGACUACAGCGUAACUGAUGUUUUUCAUAUUAGUAUAGAUAAGUCUGUUUUAGCUCACCCACACAUUUUACCAUAGAGGCCGACUGUAGACAAUAAACAUGCUCAAACAUGAUCUAUGCAAUGUGGCCGUGCAUUUUAGGAAAAAAUGGAACUGUUUUUUUUACUGGACGAAUUUUUUUUAGCUCAUCAACCCAUGCCAUUUCUUCUUUAUCUAAUAAUACAUCAGCGGCUAAAGAGGCAUGCUCGUGGGCCAUGGAGAUGGGUGAAAGAACAUGUUUUUUUUUGGCACCUCUUAUAUUUCAAGUGCUUGAAAAUUUUUAUUGUUUCAUGCAAUGUAUUUCAAUAUUAUAAAUGCUGCUACGUGAUGUUGCAUAUGUUGGUAUCUGAUAUUGCGUACAUCGCUAUUCAAGUGUUAUAAGUGAAUUGAAUAUGAAACAUAAUUUAUUUUUUAUGUUUUGGACGUUGAUUUUCAAUGUUGCAACCCAUUGCCUAAAAAUUGUUAAGCUAAGGAACCUGUUAGUUAUUUGGUCUAUUGCGCCUAUACACAUGGACAACAUUUUUUAGGUUUUCGAAAUUUACGCCACCUCACUAAAAAUAGAUGUGCUUUAGUGAUCAAAGCAAUAGUUGCCAACCAAGAUAGCCUAUAUAAGAGCUCAAGGCAAUGCUAGCAUCUCCCAAGACGGAUUAACGACAAUGCUCGGUGCAGCAACUGAGCAGCUGGUCUGUGUGACCGGAGCUGGAGCCUUCAUCGGGUCAUGGCUAGUCAAGGAGCUUCUCCACCGUGGCUAUGCUGUAAGAGGCACCGCAAGAGACCCUGGUGAGUCAGCGACUCGGUGUAAUGCGUCCAUCAAGGGUGAUUGGUCUCUAAAUUUGCAUGGAUUUUUCAAAGGACUCACCAACUAGUGUCGGAGCACCCAUUGUCCUAGCUUUCCCACUCACUAUGCCACACCAACGUAUCUCCUUCCUCCACCCUCACCAGCCAUGUAUGAUAUAUAGCAUGCCACACGCCCUUUAAUGCCUUCUUACCUCUCAAUCUCUUAUUACUAGGUGCCAACUGUGUAAACUUCAAACAAAAUGUUGCUAGCUAGUUGCUGAUUUUUGUGCAUCUGCUAACAUGAUUCCAGUGGACCGCAAGAAGUGUGUAUAUUUAUCUCACUAGUUGUUUUUAGUUCUGUAAUUUAUAGAUUAAUGAUUAAUUUUUUGUUACGGUGCUAGAGGACUGCAAGAACGCCCAUCUGCAUGCACUCGAUGGAGCUGAAGAACGGUUAUCUCUGUACCGUGCUGAUGUGUUGGACUACAAGUCACUUCGUCCUGCAUUCAGCUUAUGUGAUGGUGUUUUCCAUGUUGCCUCCCCAGUAUCGAAUGAUCCUGUCAGAAUACUUCCUAUAAUAAGUACCAUCUAUCUAAGUCUCCUACAUGCUCAGAAAGAUUAUUGAAUCCAUGUCUAACAUGAACCUAUUUAAUUUAUUCCAAUUGAAGCGACAGACAAAUGUUAAACGUGUCAUGAAAAUAUGCAGGAACUUGUGCAGGUCGCUAUUGAGGGAACAAAGAAUGUCAUCAACGCUGCAGCAGACAUGGGAGUGCAGCGUGUGGUGUUUACCUCAUCUUAUGGAGCUGUGCAUAUGAACCCUAAGAGGAACCCUAAUCAGAUUCUGGAUGAGAGUUGUUGGAGUGACCUUGAGUACUGCAAGGAAACACAGGUCACCACUUCUACCAUAUAAAAGAACCCUUCCAAAAAUAAUUACACUAUUCAAUGAUAUUUUUGGUAAAUGAAGCACACCUUUUUAGUUAUCACAUAAGCAUUCGAUGAAAAUAAAUAGGAGACAGCGGAGUUAACUAAAUCUAAUUAAGGUAACACCACAACAAACCUUUUCUAACGUGAUACACCGACAAAAAAUUCAAGAAAGAGUGUAUUUUUGUCAUGGAAAUAUAUCAAAAUAUCCUUCAUGCCAAUCACCACACAAGUAAUGACCAUUUCUGAAUGCUAUUUGUGACAUUUUCUUGCAGAUGCCAUCUCAUUUUUUUUAUGAAAGCAUGUUCGUUGCCACAUUAUAUUAACUCUAUAAUUUUUGUGUCACUAAAUAAUUUUGUUAGAAGCAUAUAAAUAAACUAACAAUCUUUGCCAUUAUAAAUGCAGUACAUAUUUUCCAUUAUAUUGGAAAUUUAAUUUCCACUGAGAAUUUUUUGAGUGGCACAUAUAUGUAGUACACCUGCCUUAUGGGUCUAUAACUUAUGAUGAAAGUGCAUGCACAUUCCUUGACAUUAUUGCACGUUACGCUAUAGAUAAACAUGUCUCGUAAAAACCUUAUGACACGGGAAUAUAACCAUCAUUAUUGGGUUAGCACACCUGCCAUGAUUAACAUGCAUCAUAUUAUGGACUUAUUAUGAUUGAAUUAUAGAACUGGUACUGCUAUGCAAAGGCAGUUGCUGAGAAGACUGCAGUGGAAGAGGCAUCAAAGAGAGGGGUACAACUAAUAAUAGUCGUCCCUGCAGUCACGAUAGGCAGAAUGCUACAGUCAACGUUGAACGCAAGUUUAUACGGAGUCGCCACCUACAUGAAUGGCACAAAGAAGGCGUAUCCAAAUGCAGUUGCCGCAUAUGUCGAUGUGCAGGAUGUUGCUCUUGCCCAUGUUUUGGUGUACCAAGAUCAGAAUGCACAUGGACGCUACCUCUGCAUAGGUGACGUGCUACAUCGGUCGAAGUUUGUUCAAAUGUUGAGAGGGCUCUUCCCACAAUAUCCUGUCACCGCUAAGUAAAUCUCUGCACUCUGCAUUAAAAUUUCAGACAUAUAUUUCAUUCAAAUGUGGCCUUGUUUAAUCUUUUAUAUUCCUUUAGAAAAGCUAUGAAAUUUUAUAAAGCAAAGUAAUCAAAAUUAGACUGCCAACUUAAAGUUAAUCCAAUUUGAGAUUAACCAUAGAUAAAAUUUUGAAUAUUUUAAAAAAAAGUCUGUGUCAACCGGAAGUUUGAGGAUUAAUUAGUUUAUGUGUUCAGAAUUUGAAUACAAUUAUACUGCUCCCAGGUCCAUUUCUAUAUAGAUUAAACUAUAAUGAUGUCCCUGGUGUGCAUUAAACUAGAGUUCAUAUUAGUUUGAGUUGCACAGAUUUGGCUACCCUUUAUUUGCAUCUCAGUAUUACACAAAAAUAUCACUAUUCAUAUGUUCGUUGUAUGUCCUUGAUGUCUCACUGGAACGAAGGUCCAGGUUCCACAAGUGAGCCACAAGUGCAUAUUGUGGAUUUCUCCUUAAUUAUGUAAAAUAUUCUAAGUAGCCAUUUUUAUAUGUUAUUAAGUGAUGGCAAACUACAUGUAUAUACCAUUGUUGCACAGUCUUUUACAUGAUGUUUUUGACAUUUCUUUCGAAAUUUGAGUUACUUUAGGCAACGACCAUGAUAAAAAAGAGGUUUUCAUCAAAUUUUAAAAAUACCUAAAGUAAUAUUAUUUUCAUAACAUUACUAGUGCUGCUGCAAAGGUGAAACUAUUGUCAUACUCAUCAAGUGCGGUAUAGAAAAGUGCUAUGUAUUACUUCAACUAACUUUUGGUUCUUUUUCCUACUAACAACCUAAACACUCACCAAAAAAAUAUAAAAAAUAUCUAUCAUCAGAGCAACUUAGUUUGGUCCCAGCUUCCAUAAAUGAAAAGGUAGUAUUUUGAUUUACAAAUUUAAUUUCUCUUGUCUUUGUCUGCCCAUUAUUUAGAUGUGAGAACGACAGUACGCCGAUGGUGAAGCCUUACAAGUUCUCUGUGCGACGGCUCAGGGCUCUGGGUAUGAAGUUCACUCCUUUCAAGGAAAGUGCAUACAACACAGUGAUCAGCCUACAGGAAAAUGGUCAUAUCCCCAUACUGCCACAUAAGUCAGCCCUGUGAGAAAUGAGGAUAUAUAUUUAAAUAAAGGAUUUGAACAUGGGUGUUGAGUCAAUACUUUAGUUGGUAUACAUGGACUAUGUAUGAAGUAUUGUUCAAGCUUUAAAGGGAAUAACCACUCAAAUUAUUCUUAAAUAAUAUAUAGGAAAUUUGGAGCUGGUCUUCAUUUAUAAAGCAAAGGCACAAGUGUGGGGAUAGAUCCUCUAGUAACCGUAAGGAAGGAAGAAGAUAGGAUCAUAUUAGGAUUCUUGAGUAUAUUUGUAAUCCUAAUAGAACUCUUACCUUUACCUUGUAAUUCUAUCAAGACUUAUACAUUGUAACCUUUUGAGAUAUAUAAAGGGGCAGGGGUUCACAACUCAUACCUCAUACAUCCAAGCGCAUAGCGUAAUAAAUAUACUCCACUUCAAAUAUGGCGUAAGGUAUUACAUUACUCUGAUAGCCCAAACAUGUAUAAAUUUGUGUCUUAUGUCUAUUGAUUUAUCACAAGCUUCAGAUCCGAUGAUUUCCCCACCUAACAAUUUACUAUCUCAGGAAUACUUUCGGUAGGUUAACGGCUACAAAACACCAACAAAGUAUCUGCUCAGUUGGUUUCUGUGACUGCCCUUUGCUUGCUUUUGGCAAACAUAUUAGAUAUGUUGUAUGUGCUCUGUCUGUGCGUCAAACCUGCUCUUACAUCAGUAGCUUGAUUGAUCCUAAACUUCCUCUGAAAUAGCUUAUCAAGAUAUCUUUUACGGUCCUUAGAUGAUGAGACACAAAGCAUAGGGGGGGAAAGACUAUAUCACACCUAGGUGUUUAUGAAGGCCCAAAACACCCGAGCUCACUACUUUAUCGAUAGUGCUCGUCCUUCAUUGUCCAUUCCUCUUUUCUUUCUUCCGAACCGCACUGCGGCCCAGGUCUUCCUAGCUCUGCUCACCCACGAGGCCACGAAUGCCUUGCACAACUUCAGCUUUGACUUAGGAUCUGUCUUGCACAACUGGGUGCUUUGACUUAGGAUCUGUCUUGCACAACUUCAGCUUCGAGAUUCAGGUUGAACUGUAGUUUGUACACAGUAGAUUAAACUAGUCCAAAUAUUUAUAUUUAGGCACCGUUUGGUAGAGCUCCGGCUCCUAUCAAAAUGGCUCCGGCUUUGGCUCCUCUGGUGGAGUGACUUCUCCAGUGGACUGUUUUGGAAAACGUUUAGUAGUAAAACGGCUUCUCAACGUCAAUAUGGAUAAUUUUAUGGUCAAUUAAUACUUGUAAAGGGAGGAAAAGUUGGUGAAGCCACUUUUUUUGUCUCCUCCUCUUUAGUGUAAGCCGUUUUAUGGUUUCUCCUCGGUUUCGAUGGUGAAGCCGUUUUGAAGUUGCUCCUUUGGUACGUCUUCACCACGUCUUCACCAAAAACUGGUGGAGACGCCUUUUGAGAAGCAUCAAAGGUUAGUCUGCACUAUAAACAAAACUAUUCACUAAAUGUUCCUGACUUACGUCUAGUUCUAGAUCCAAAAUUUCUUAGUGCUACCAAUAUCUACCUUUAACAGAUCCAUAAUUUUUUUAGACAAGCUAUACCAAAUUGACCCAUAUUAGCCACUAGUUUGAGUGCCCUUGUGUUGAUUUUGGCAAAAAAAAAUAAUUAUCAUUGUCUUGACUGAGCCAAGCAUUUCUCUUGUACACAAGCGAUCAAUACCAGUAAAAGCCGGCAUACAUGAUACAUGUACCCCCAUAAACCUGCGGUGUGUAAAUUGGCCAGAUAAAACGCUGCUGCAUUCCUGGCAGUCUGCUCGGGUGCUGGAGCACCGUUUUUUUGAAAAUUAAGUGCUGGAGCACCGUACCAUCACAAUCUGUUGAUCCAUACCAUUGGUGUUCUCCGCGCGACGCCGUCCCUCCGGCGUCCUCCAUUCCCCGUCGCCGCUCCACCUUCAUCACUGAACGUCUUCCCCUAGCUCCGCCUUCUCUUUGCCGGAGCCACGAACCAGUUGGCCUCUCCUCCUCUUAUUCAGACGCCGUUUCUUGCCGGCCUCCACCUGAGCAGCUCUCUCCAUGUCGCACGUCGCGACGUAGCUCGCGUACGGAGGGAUGCGGGAUUGCCACAUCAGCACGUCAAACCGCUUCUCCCCGGCCCAGACGACGCCGCUGCCAACCUCCAGCAUCGUCACCGUCGGGAGCUCGCUCCGUGCCAUGCCCGUCGACUUUCGCCUGUCGUAGAACAAGCACGGAGCAUUCGGCGGCGCGCCCUUCACCGGCACGCGGGGGUAAUAAAUCCACCACUCACCGGCGCCAAGCUGCAGCACCGUGACUCCGGCGGACACCUUCAGGACGCGGCGCCAGGACCGCGCGCUCAGGUCGGCGCGGAGCGACGCGGCGAUCUUGUUCACCGCGGCGAACGGCGUGAGGUCCGGGAUGCCGGCGAACAGCGCCAUGGCGACGCGCAGCAGCUCCGGGCGCUCCUCCGGGUCGGCGCCUCCGAACGCCAUCGCUUUGAACAGGUACCAGAGCUCCUCCCGGCGCAGCUUGCGCAGCCUGAGCGGCGGCACGGUGCCCAGGCCCGAGUGCGCCUCCGUCCUGCUGAUGAUUACGACCUUGCUCUCUCCGUGCGCGCGGCGGCGAACGGACGAGCGGAACCUUCUCCAUCGCUCCUCCUCGUCCACGUCGCCGCCGGCGAGGUCGAUCACGAACAGAGAUCUAGCAGCGGUGUCGAUCAACCCUUGAUGAUGCUCAUGGCUCGGUAGAAUAAGAUUAUCACUGUUAAGAUAAUGAAUCUUGGCGAAUUUCUCUCGCACCCUCUCCUCGAGGCACGCGUGCUCAACCAGAGUCCGCUUGCCGACUUCGUGAGGGCCGAUGACCGGAAGAACAUCCAAAUCUUUAGCAGGUUGUAGCAGGAAGCUGACGAUCUGCUCCUUCUCUAUCUGCCGGCCAAACAUGCACGUCUCCAUGAACAGGUAGAAGCUGUACGGCUGGCGGUUGAGACGUGGACAGGCACCGAGGAGCACGAUGAACUCCCUCAUGUCGCUCAGCGCAGCUUCCAGGGUGUCCACCAGAACAGACAGCUCACCUGUGGCGUCACUGCCCGGAGGCAAGCCGAGCGACCGCCUCGCCGUGGCGUGCGGUCUCCUCCUGCUGCGCUCGAUGGCUCGCCUCGUGAAGGCGUCGAGCACGUAGGCGCCCCGGCACAUCUCUCCCCUCAGCUGGUUGAGCUGCAGCAGCAUCGCCCGGUUGGUGACCUGCCGCGCCUCGGCCUCCUCGACGACGACGCGGGCUCGCAGCAGCGCUCGCUGCAGCCUGACGACGUCGUCGUCGGUGGUGGUGGAGCCGGGCUCCUGGAACUUGCUGAUGAGGAAGGAGAUCAACCGGCCGACGAGGUCGCUAGCAACUGCAGACAGCAGCGCCUCCAUUGCCAAGGACCAAUGCCCCUCCCUGCCCCAGGCCCUUUAACUCCUCAUUGACUGAACAGCAAUGGACGUAUGAACGUAGUAGGAUGCUGGUUUGGAAUUUUAUUCGCCAUUGAUUAUGUGUGCGGUUACGGUUGUCACAGGUCACUGACCGAGAUGCAUUAGCCGACGACCGGGUACACCAGUACAGAAAAGAUUAGCGCCAUCUCGCUUUCAGACACACGGACCAUAUCUUUUCUCCCCUCUUUGCAAACACGCAAUGCUUGGUAAUAAGGCAGGAAAGAUAUGCUGACUGGCAGAGAAGAAACUUACUUGCUCGUUGUCCAAGGGAGGACCUCUAGGUGCUCAAUAUUCCAUCAAGGCAUUGCCACUGUAAUCUUGCCAAGAAACAGCAAUAUUGCCCGGUACAUAUUUGAAUAGUAUUUCCUUUAACAGGUUUACAAUGGAGCCAUAGUUCUUCUCAUAUAGUAGGCACGAAAAAUUCCCCAGCAUAUAUACUAGUAAAAAAGAAGAGGAACGAAGCUCUCCAAAAAUCCUUGCUGCGCUGUGCAAAAUUCAGCUGCCAGAGUAGCAGCACAAAGAUGUCCCAGGACAGGAUACGCAAUUGGUGGAUUUAUUUGGGUUUCAGCUAGUAUCAGUUCGUACAUUCCAAGCUGGCUACAUUUUGCUCCAGUGCGAGGAAAUAGCAAGCACUGUGCAAGAUCCAAGAAGUGGGAACCCACACAAAUUCUGCUCCAAGAGAGAAAUUGUAUUUUAUUUAUAUGAUUCAGUAUGGUGAUCCCACAACUGUAUUUGCCACAUAAGCAGCCCUAAAGCUUAUAGGCUUCAUAGGAUUUCGUUAUAUCAGAACUUGCUAAAGAACUCACAGAUGUGAUCAGAGACCUCACUAGGCUUCUCCUGAUUGAUGAAGUGGCUCACUCCCUCCAUAACAACAACAUCCUCCAGUUUUGGUACGCUUGCCUUGAAGCCACCCUUGUGGAUGUAAUCCUGUACCCCCGGAGUGUUGUACGUAAUAUCCAGGUCCCCAACAAUGAAUUUUGUUGGAACUUUUAUCGGAGCACCAGUCCAUGGUGCAGAAAGCUCCCAAUUCCUGCAUGAACAUAAAAUGAAUCUGAUGAGAUCAAUGCCUUGGUCAGUUCUAAACAAAGCCCCCAUACAUAAAGUUUGAAUUUGAUUGGCUGACACUAUCUGAAAUCUAAUUCAGUCAUACAUACCAACUAUUGUUUAUUAAGAUGAAUGUAUUUCAGUACAUCUGUCAUUAACUCCUCUCCUUUUUAAGUUUUGGCAAACAUUUCAGGGUGAUAGAUCCUCCUAGCAUGUGAAUUCAAAAUCAUAAGGUAUGCACUACAGAAUGUGAAACCAUUUAAACAUUUGAAGGCAUCAAACGACAGUAAAUCAACAGUAAAAUCACAAAGGUAUGCACUACAGAAUAACAAUAACACUGGCCAACAGUGAACUGAAAGUUGACUUGGCGGAUGGCAAAUAAUUGAUUGCCUGAAUAAAGAAGUAAAUUGAAAAUAAAAAUUGUGAGAGUGAACCAUAAAAGACAUACAGGUUCAUGCAUCUGUAGUAGUUAAAUCCUCCAGUAAAGCCUGUCUUUGAAAAUUUUUCUGCAUAGUAGGAAAUAUCUUCCUCUGAUAGCCAUGGAGGGCAUGUUCCGUCUGAAUCAAGUGAGUCAAAGAAGCUCUUGUCCUUGGGUAGAACAAGAGGAGCUGGCUUGCGCAUGCCAAAUGUCUUAUUAAAAAUAUACUUGGCAUCAUAUUGAGCGAAUUCAGCUUCAGCAACUCCAGGUUCCUGCAUGCAUCAUUAUGCAAUUCAGAUGCGCAAUAUUUCUCAAAAGAAAAAUCAUGUCUCAAGCGAUAUCAAUAUGCACAAAGUAUAUCAUAUAAAAAUAAAAAUCAAUAGCUGACUCCAUACAACCACACUAAGGGAAUGCUGCAUUUUAUAUUCAAAGGGUGUUACGAAGUUGAGGAUUUCAAGAGAGUGCCAUCCCAAGAGUUAUUAUUGUUCUUGAAGAUCUAGAAUGAAGAAAAAUCUUGGAAUUCAAGACCGAUUACUGAUUAUUAGACGAUGAAGCUUAUCCCCCAUCGUCUCACUGGCCGACCUUGACCCCUGUUAUUUUUGGGUCAUUCUGAAGUCACUGAGACAAUCUGAAUUGUUAAUUUUUUUACAGCUUUGAAAGACCCGCUGCUGCGUGCAUAUGCUCAGUUGGUAGAAUCCCAAAGAAGGUUUGAUAUUUUCCAAGAAGCAAUGCUAUUAACUGGUGGUUUGCUGAUGCUACUUUCUUUUAGGAAAAAUGAAAUCAUGGACUGAGUAUUUAAGCUUGUAUAAAAUGAUCUGCUAAUAAUCUCUCAAUCAAGUCUAGGGUUGCUUCUUCAUCUUCUAAAUCAAGCAAUCUCUCAAUUAGCAGUUAUUUCGUAACCCUUAUCUAUCUACAAUUCUGGAUAGUUGUUAUUGGUCACUCGCAGUAUUAUCUGGCGUCAAAUCUGUUCCUUCAUUUCGCUAUUUUAGAGCAGCCAGGAGAAUACAAAUUGCACAGAAAGUAGGCACCAAGUAAUCGUUCCAGCAUCGAUCCAACCAAUCUGCCAAAUUAAACGAGUCCAUCGCCAGUGCCAAACCUCGUCCAUUUAAUGGUUGCCAGGACAGAGGACAGAACAGGGCUACUCAUCAUAAAUAAAGGUCAAUUCUGCCUGAGUAGUGAGUACAAGUACACAAUGGGAAUGGAAGCAGAGUACUCCACUUGUUACCUGGAAGCGGCACAUGUAGUGGUCUUCCCCGCAGGCGGCCUUGAUGGUCUGGAGCGGGCUCCCCUCCGGCCGCCGCGGGUGGUACACGACGCUGAGGUUCACGAGCGCCCGCACCAGGUCCGGCCGGAGCAGGCAUAGCUGCCACGCCACGAUGGCGCCCCAGUCGUGCCCCACCACGAACACCUGCCGCGAGCAGAGGACCCAAUCCAAAAAAGAAGAAAAUAGAAGUCAACGUCGAGUAGGUGAUUGCUGCUUCGCAGCUUCGCUUCGAGGAAUCGAACGGAUUGCCGCUGCCAUGAAACCUGGGGCUGGCCGAGGUCGGCGAUGAGCGCGACGAGGUCGCCGACGACGUGGAACGUGGUGUAGGCGGACGCGUCGGGCGGGGCGUCGGAAUCGCCGUAGCCGCGGAGGUCGGGCGCCACGGCGCGGUAGCCCCGCGCCGCCAGGGCGGCCAUCUGGUGGCGCCAGCCGUACCAGAGGUCCGGGAAGCCGUGCAGGAGCAGCACCGCGGGGGCGGCGCCGCCCUCGGGCCCCGCCUCCGCCACGUGCAGGCGGACCCCGUUCGCCUCCACCGUCCGGUGCCGCACCCCAUCCACCACCGCCGCCAUCCCUAUCCUGUGCCCUCCUCUCUGCUCCAGUGCUCACCGAGGCGCCCUGGCUCACUCAGGCAGCAAGCCUGCUACCAGUGGCGCACGCGCAGCCGCCUGCUUUUGUAGCGGGGGGCCGCCGGCGGGUGGCUUUGGGAGCGCAGCACGCAGCUGGGGUAUUUUGGGGCGUGCGAGGCGUCCGAACGGACGGGCGGCGCGGGCGAGAGUUUGUGUAAUGGGUUUUUUAAGUCUAUGUUUAGUACUUUUAAUUAAUAUCUAAAUAUUCGAUAUGACACGUGCUAAAAAUAAACAAAGGGAACCAAAUGCCCCCUAAGUUUUAACCGGCUUGUCGUAGAGAAAAGGCGAUAUCAUCAUACGAAGAUAGGUGUGCAUUCGUCUGGAGAUACGAGAAUUUGUAAUAAGAUUGGUCCUCUCCAUGGUAGAUCCCUUGCAGGAAAAAAAAAUAGAAAAAUGGACUGAAAUUGUUAGCCUUUGUAAAAUGGACUGAAAAUGGACUACUUUAGGUGAGGUUGCAUUUUAUACAAGAGAUUGUACUGUUGAAUCGAUUUGAAAUUUGUACAGGUGGUUCAUGAGGUGAUACACUGGAGGGGGACGUGGGGAGGGAAGUCGAUUUUACGGUGAACGGCGAACGCUAGCAAAGUAGCAAUUAAGGUAAGUUUUUAGAGGUGGACAGUAUUUCGAAUAAAGGUACUUUCUGUGUUUAUCUGUUUUUAUAUAAAAUGUAUCCGAUAUAAAUUCAAAUAUCCUCAAAAUACUAAUGUAAAUUGGAUGCUUCGGUUUGCUGAUUUUCUGUGUCAGCGUCAGUCUUCCAUUUGCGGUGGCAAACGCUGGGCGGCAAGCGGCAUGGGUCGCUCAGACGGUCGCGUCCUGCGGUUGGUGACUUGGUGGACGACCACCAGCCGGUCAGUUCAGCUGUUAGCUCGCUACUGAAAGCUUGAGGCUGAUUGGCAAAUCCCUUAGCUGAACAAAGCAAAAGGAGAGCUUCUGGAGAGGACGAAAGAGUGGAGCAGCUUUUACAUUGUAAAGUGCUAGGAUUGGUGGUAGUAUCUCUGACUUAGCUUGGUGGUAGUACUUGGUUAAGAAAAUUGCAUACAGACGGUGAAACCUUUUUGAGAAAAUUGUAUCUGCUUUAUUUUAACUAUGUAGGAUUACAAUCACGAAAUAGAAAAGGCAAGAGAGCAGAAAGAAAUCAAACUUUUUGAGAUAGUAAAUCUUGAUGAUAAACUAGACGAGUAGUUCGAAACAUUAUAAACAAGGAACAAAAGCUAAUAAUUACAAACCCACAAGCUAAAGUCGAUCGACACUAGCUUUUUUGGUGUUUUUUUUUUUUGAAAUAGGAGAUUCUAGGUGCCUAUCAGAUUAAAAGGUCAUGUUAGGGGAUGUUUGCUAGUUUCGUUUUCUCUUAAGGCACUUGUUUCCAAGAUUAACUCUUCUAUUUUUCUCCACAACCCAGCAUGAUACGUAGUUGUGAUAUGGAGGGAUGUGAGAUUGACCGGCUAUAUCAAACAUCUCUCCAUUUUGCACAGGCCUUGAAGUAAGCACAUCUUCGGCCCUUUUCUUGUUGGUCAUGUCUCCUUGCAUCAUAGACCUUGUCUUGUAUCUGUUAUAGCAAAACAUGAGAGGACUAUCCUGGCUAAAGCCAAGAAAAUACGAUAAAAAUCUAUUGCUAGAUUGUGUUUCCCUUGGGUCUUCUCCAAAGACAUGAAUGUGCACCUGCAUUACCUUUCUUAUAGAACACAAAGCACGGCGCCAAAAUUGCACAUUCAGAUUACCUCUUAGCACCCUAGCAAUUGUUCUCGUUGUCAUAAGUGAACCACGGAUCCCCAUUGCAAUUUCCUUAGCUAUCGAGGCAAGAUCUGGAUGAUGAUCAUAUGGGUUUGCACUACCAAAGGCAAGGACUCUAAAGAAGUACCAAUGCUCCUCUUCACGUAACCUUGUCAGCCUAAGAGCUUCCACUGUCCCUAAACUUGAUGCACAAUCCAUUCUGCUGAUGAGUAUGACCUUGCUGCUGUCGACUCCACGGCGCAAUGAAUGGUAAAGUUUACCCCAUGCCACCACAUCACUGUCAUGAACAAGCUCCACGACAAUCACGGAUCUCCCACCCGAAGGAUUAAACUUCUUACAUAUAUGAUUAUCCGUGUCAGUACCAUUAGCUAGAUCCAUGAGAUCAUCGCUGCUGAAGUGCAAGAUUUUUGAGAAGUUUCUUCGCACUAUCUCCUCUCUACAAGCAUGCUCAACUAGGGUAUUUUUUCCAACAUAAAUUGGUCCAAUAACAGGAAGGAUAUCCAAAGACGAACAAGGGCUUAAUAAGAAGUUGACAAUAAGCUCUUUUUCCGACUGUCGGCCGAACAUGCACCUCUCCAUGAACAAAUAUGUACUGUAUGGCUGACGAAUAAUCGGAGGGCAAUUCAUCAAAAGUAACAGAAACUCUUUCAUAUCAUUAAGCAUGGCUUCUAAAUUGCUCAUAAAUUGUACUUGGAGUUUGUAUUGGCUCACCUCUAACAGCCCAUUUGAUCGAGAGGGCCAAACGUCGGAGGUGUCCAACAUGUAGUAGCCACGGUACAGGGACUCUCUGAGCUGCUUAAGCUGCAAGAGCAUGCCAUGGUUGGUGAUUUGCCGCCCAUCGGCCUCCUCAACGACGAUGCUGGCUCGCAGGAGCAGCCGCUGCAGCCUUGAAAUCUUAUGGGUGGCAACCUGAUGAUGAGCCUGGUAGUUUUCAACGAUGAAGGAGAUGAACCGGCUGAUGAAGUCGCUGAUCACUGCAGAUAUCACUGUAUCCAUGAUCUCUGUGUGCCAGGGAGAAAUAAAAUGAUUAUUGUACAAAUCAUGAUACAGCUGCAUACAUAUAGUCAGGAUUGGAGGGACGCAAGCUGGAACUUGGCUACCAGACAUGGGGACAGGGUAGUUUUUUCCCCCUGAUUUUUCCACAAGUGUCCCUCUCGUUGACUAGUCUUCGAAGAAGAUGCCGUUGUGCGAAAAAGAGGGGUACUUCCGUCGUCAAACUUGACGAACUUAUGAUAUAACUUUUUUCUCCAUAAUUUUGAAGGGGUAGACUUUUCAUGCUUUUUACAGGAGUCCCUCUCGUUGACUGAUCUUCAAUAGGGCGCUCGCCAUGGGUGUUCCCAGCUAUAGAUUCCUGACAACUCGAACUUGUCUUUUUUUUAAAAAAAAAUUAUUUUUCACAGCUUUCCAUUUUUGAAAAAUGAUGAAAUUAUAUAUAUAACUUUUAUGCAUAAUUUUGAUUUCCAAACUUGUUACGAUAAAAAUUAUAUAUAUAAAUUAUGCAAAAGAAACGAAAAAUUAUAUAAAAAUUAUACAUAUAGUUAUAUGCAUGUAUAACUUUUAAAAAGAAUAAUUGUAUUUUUAUUUAAUCACGCUUGCACGUAGAAAGGUUGCAUAUGCAAAGAAGUAUACUUCAACCCUCUCUACAGGUUCCCUCAAACCUCAGAUAUGGAAGUAGAAGUCGGGUGCAAUCAUUUUUAUUUAAUCAUACCUAUCAAGAUUAAUACUAAUGAAUUGCAUGCAAGACUAAUUCAACUAAAAAUUUAAGAUAACAAGAAAAGAUGAGCAAUUUAUUUAUACCUCACUAUUAUCGCCUCUCAGCCUCCACGACGACGCGACCUCGGAGGAGCAAUCUGUUUGUAGCCUUGGUAUUUUGCUGUGGCAACCAGAACCUCGGAUUUUGCAGCGACGAAGGAGAUGAACCGGCUGAGGAGGUCACCCACCACUGUAGAUAGCAGAGUAUCCAUUGCAUACGCACGCUACAAAAGAGUGCGGUGGUUCUAAUUCAACAGUGCAGAUUUAUACAGAAUUGGGUUCAGGGGGAGAAAGCAGUCGGUGAGGGUGAGGCACAAGUUCGAAGCCAGACAGCUUGAGCGGUGUAGCCUGUUGCGCAAAGGCAAAGGGAGGCGACAUGAUUUUUGUUGUCUCCCUGAAAUUUUUCUUGCUCUGACCGGCGCACCGCCAAAGACGUUACGGCGCCGGUUAGUGGCCACCGGAGCUGCGCCGCUUCCAGCCACUCGAUUUGGCCGUCGUGACUUGUGAGUUGUGGCGGCGGAUCCCACAAGACCUGCUGAAGUUGUUUUACAGGAAGACCUGUAAGUAUUUAAUUUGAAUGGGAGAAAAUAGGAGUCAGCAGUCCAUUUUUGCGUAGUCUUUUCGCCUCUCGCUGAUGAACAGAUUCUACAGCGAUACGCCGAUGCCAACAGCGAGGCGUCAAAAAAGCAAAAGGAAAAGAAAAAAAUCGACGCUCACUUUCUGGGGGGGUCCUAUAUGCCUUCCACGAGAUGUAUAAGAGAUACAACUAUAAAAGCCCAGUAUAGCCCAGCAACGGCACAUAGGAUUACGCGUGCGCAAAUUAGAAAGCAGGCUGCCGAAUCGUUGCAUGCGUGUGCCUCCGUUCCUCAAGCAGGGAGACUCGACGAUAGGGCCAAUCAUGGAAAGAGACUCAUGCUUUAUCAUUUUUUUUUUGGUUUUAUACUUCGCUUUGUUUUUUUCCUACUAGAUCACUAUGAAACGGUAUAUUCAAAAAUUUUGUUAGGCUGAAUCAAUAUUUUUUAAAAAAACUAGUUCAACAUUUAGUGAAAAUUAAUUCAACAUUUUUCCAGAAUGUUGAAAUAGUAUAGCAUAAAUGUUGAAACGAUAUCUAAAGAAUGUUGAACAUUUUUUUAGAAAAUUUCUUUAGAAGGAAUCAAUAUUUUUUUAAAAAAGUUGAAAUAGUAUAGUAUAAAUGUUGAAACGAUAUAUAAAGAAUGUUAAACAUUUUGAGAAAACUAAUACAACAUUUUUUCAGAAAUGUUAAAAUAGUAGUAUAAAUGUUGAAUCGACAUAUAAAGAAUGUUCAACAUUUUGAGAAAACUAAUACAACAUUUUUUUAGAAAAAUUUGUUAGAGUGAAUCAACAUUUUUUAAAGAAGUUGGAAUAGUACAAUAUAAAUGUUGAAACGAUAUAUAAAAAUGUUGAAAUAUUAAAAUAAACAAUUAAAAUAGUAUAUUGGAUCUUGUUGCAUUAAUUCUAACAAACAUUAUGAUUCAAAUGGAUUUAAAAUCAAAUGUAAUGAGAGUGAAAUUUGUUUAGCCUCCCACCCACCUCCCAGGUCACGACACGUGUCCCUGAAAAGCUGGUGCUAUGUGUUGACCCGUGCUUGCUUCGCCUGUGUAGUGGACGCUCUUCGCAUGUGAGCUUUCUUCCGGUAUAAUCUCGACAGACUAGACUUUGCACACAUCUCAAACAGUGGAAGAUUAGUUGAUAAAAAUCUUCCAGAAGAUAGAUACGAAUCCCGUACUUGUUGCUAUUACUUCACAAUGAGGAGGACGUGGCUAGGGAUGGUAAAGGGUCAUCUAGUUUAGCCUAGCAAAUUUAAGUAUGGAAUUCAAUAAGGAUCAAACUAUAAUAUUAUACGAUUUUAAAUUAAAAAUAGAUGGAGCUAAGUUGGAUUGUGAAAAAGAAACAAGUGUCGUUAUCCGUUACCACCUUGGACGUGGCAUGUUCUUGUCAUGGGCCUCGGCAAGGUUGAAAAUGGCCGCGUUUACUGAUUUGUGCGGCGACCAGCCCCAAGUUGCCGAGGUUGUCCACCGGACCUUUUAAGCCCGGUGCUGCACCUCGUUGUUCCAAACUUUCGAAAACUUCAAACGGAUGAAUAGAGACUGCAAACCAAAGCUUUUUCUUUCUCCAGCUUGUCUGGGGCAUUAGAACGUUGUCAGGAGGGCUGCGGCCACGGACGCCGCCGUUGGCUCGGCCGCAAGGCCCUGGGGCGCCGCCCCAGCCAACGCAUGUUGCCGCGGGCUGCUCGCGGCUAGGUGGGGGUCCUGACUCCUGCGAUUCUAUUUGGCCAGUCGCCGCCGGCGGGGAAUGGGUGACCGUCGGCCCUAUGCGCGACAGCGGGAGGAGAACAGGCAGGCGGCAGGAGGGGAAUGAGCUGGAAAAGAAUUGGCGGCACCAGAACUGUCGUUUUUGGAUGGGCUGAAUUCUCUCUUUGGGGAGAGUUGAGCUAGGAUAUUGGGAUGAACCAAAAAAUAUUGGGAAAAGAGACAUGUUUUGAGAGACUGUUGGAGCUCUUUUCUUCCCAAUGCUGGUAAUUGUUUUUUUGGAAAAGGGAGACCGGUGUGGCUGCUUAGAUCUUAAAUAUAAUCUUUACCUUAUGUAUAUUGACAAGGCUGUUUGCAUACAUGUAUACUGUGGAGUUUCACCAGGAGGGGGGGGAUGGCCCCUCCAGGCACCCCUACCUCUGUCCCUGUAGGUCACCCACUGCCGCAGAUAUCACAAUGAUCAAUUGUAUAUGUACCACUAGCCCACUACAAAGAGCGCGGUGAUGAUUCAAAUUCAGCGGUGUGGUAUACGUACCAUUGAGAUUACAGAGAGGAGAUACGCCCUUAUACAUAAACGUAGAUGGGAUUAUAGAGGGCAGGAGCAGUAGCGCACAAAGAUCAAAGCCACACAGCUAUAGCGGUGUAGCCCAAAGGUAAAGGGAAGCGACUUGGCUUUUGUUGUAUUCCUGAAUUUUUCUUAAUGGAACCGACACACGGCCGAAGAAGACGGCGCCGGUGAACAGCCACGGGUGCUGCGCCUCUUCCAGCCACUCGAUUUGGCUGUUGAUGUCACGGCGGAUCCCCCUCGAAGACCUAAGUAAUUUGUUUAGAGGAAGGGCCAUUUUAAUUUGGAAGGAAGAAAUACAGGAACAAGAGGAAUUGCAUUCCACUUUUACGUAGUCUCUCUCAUCGCCGCUCAUUACCCGGUGGGCCGCGACCCGUUCGUGUCAUGGGCCUCUCUAGCCCGCGUUUACCGCUGAUUUGUGCGGCUACCAGCCCAGCUGCCGAGCUACCUUUUUGGCCCGGUGUUGCACCUCGUUCUUCCAAACAUCCUCGAUCAACAAACAAAUCCUAAUAGGAAUUUUUUUAAUAAUAACGAUAUAUAAAUCGAAACGGGUGCAUUAAUACGGUAAAGCAAGCUUAAUUUCUUGUUCUCCACCAGCUUAUCUAGAACGGCAAAAAAAAA